GCAAGUCGAACGGCAGCAUGGGACUUCGGUCCUGAUGGCGAGUGGCGCACGGGUGAGUAACGCGUACACAACCUACCUAUGACAGGGGGAUAGCCACUGGAAACGGUGAAUAAUACCCCAUAGUAUUGAUUUAUAGAUUAUUGAUCAAUUAAAGCUCCGGCGGUUAUAGAUGGGUGUGCGUCCGAUUAGCUAGUUGGUAAGGUAACGGCUUACCAAGGCGACGAUUGGUAGGGGGCGUGAGAGCGUGACC
RNAcentral lists this ribosomal RNA (250 nucleotides) under uncultured bacterium. Its description in RNAcentral is "partial 16S ribosomal RNA". It matches the Rfam family "Bacterial small subunit ribosomal RNA", at positions 57 to 305 of the family's 1533-position model. The record is from RNAcentral.